UGCCAGCCGCCGCGGUAAUACGUAGGGUGCGAGCGUUAAUCGGAAUUACUGGGCGUAAAGCGUGCGCAGGCGGUUUCACAAGCUAGAUGUGAAAGCCCCGGGCUUAACCUGGGAACUGCAUUUAGGACUGUGGAGCUAGAGUGCGGCAGAGGGAGGUGGAAUUCCACGUGUAGCAGUGAAAUGCGUAGAGAUGUGGAGGAACACCGAUGGCGAAGGCAGCCUCCUGGGCCGACACUGACGCUCAUGCACGAAAGCGUGGGGAGCAAACAGGAUUAGAUACCCUGGUAGUCCACG
RNAcentral lists this ribosomal RNA (294 nucleotides) under uncultured bacterium. Its description in RNAcentral is "partial 16S ribosomal RNA". It matches the Rfam family "Bacterial small subunit ribosomal RNA", at positions 506 to 799 of the family's 1533-position model. The record is from RNAcentral.